RNAcentral lists this ribosomal RNA (460 nucleotides) under uncultured bacterium. RNAcentral describes it as "partial 16S ribosomal RNA". It matches the Rfam family "Bacterial small subunit ribosomal RNA", at positions 338 to 795 of the family's 1533-position model. The record is from RNAcentral.
CCUACGGGAGGCAGCAGUGAGGAAUAUUGGUCAAUGGACGAGAGUCUGAACCAGCCAAGUAGCGUGAAGGAUGACUGCCCUAUGGGUUGUAAACUUCUUUUAUAUGGGAAUAAAACGUUCCACGUGUGGGAUUUUGUAUGUACCAUAUGAAUAAGGAUCGGCGAACUCCGUGCCAGCAGCCGCGGUAAUACGGAGGAUCCGAGCGUUAUCCGGAUUUAUUGGGUUUACAGGGAGCGUAGGUGGAUUGUUAAGUCAGUUGUGAAAGUUUGCGGCUCAACCGUAAAAGUGCAGUUGAAACUGGCAGUCUGGAGUACAGUAGAGGUUGGCGGAAUUCGUGGUGGAGCGGUGAAAUGCUUAGAUAUCACGAAGAACUCCGAUUGCGAAGGCAGUUCACUGGACUGCAACUGACACUGAGGCUCGAAAGUGUGGGUAUCAAACAGGAUUAGAUACCCGGGUAGUC